Molecule: long non-coding RNA, 391 nt
Organism: Prosopis cineraria
Lineage: Eukaryota; Viridiplantae; Streptophyta; Magnoliopsida; Fabales; Fabaceae
Exons: 3
Source: RefSeq, a predicted model, not a curated record
AAUUACAACUUUUGGCCCAAAGAUUUGAAUAAUUAAAUUCAAACCUAUAGUUUUUUUUAAUAUAAUUUUGGGACUCACAAUCCCAUUUUUAUAUUAUUUUUCUCUCUUCCUCUCACGUUGCUCGGCGUUUUCUCACAAGGGGGGAUUAUUUUCUUUUUCUUCAGAUUAUAUUGACAAAGAUAGUGGUGAAAAAGGAGUUGUGAAGGGGAACUUGUUAUUCAAGACACAAGGAGCGAGUCCGGCCGAGAAAGCACCAGAGGUGUAACUGUGGUGUAUGAGACACCAUCUUUUACGUUGCCUCUUAUUUUAGAUUAUACAAUGUAUCUUGUGCCAACUUAGGACAUAUCUUCUUUGUGAAGCAUGUAAACUCUAAUCCUUUUUAUUAAAAGUA